AUACCCUGGUAGUCCACGCCGUAAACGAUGUCUACUUGGAGGUUGUGCCCUUGAGGCGUGGCUUCCGGAGCUAACGCGUUAAGUAGACCGCCUGGGGAGUACGGCCGCAAGGUUAAAACUCAAAUGAAUUGACGGGGGCCCGCACAAGCGGUGGAGCAUGUGGUUUAAUUCGAUGCAACGCGAAGAACCUUACCUGGUCUUGACAUCCACAGAACUUUCCAGAGAUGGAUUGGUGCCUUCGGGAACUGUGAGACAGGUGCUGCAUGGCUGUCGUCAGCUCGUGUUGUGAAAUGUUGGGUUAAGUCCCGCAACGAGCGCAACCCUUAUCCUUUGUUGCCAGCGAUUAGGUCGGGAACUCAAAGGAGACUGCCAGUGAUAAACUGGAGGAAGGUGGGGAUGACGUCAAGUCAUCAUGGCCCUUACGACCAGGGCUACACACGUGCUACAAUGGCGCAUACAAAGAGAAGCGACCUCGCGAGAGCAAGCGGACCUCAUAAAGUGCGUCGUAGUCCGGAUUGGAGUCUGCAACUCGACUCCAUGAAGUCGGAAUCGCUAGUAAUCGUGGAUCAGAAUGCCACGGUGAAUACGUUCCCGGGCC
This 598-nucleotide ribosomal RNA is filed under the name Salmonella enterica. Its description in RNAcentral is "bacterial SSU rRNA". It matches the Rfam family "Bacterial small subunit ribosomal RNA", at positions 782 to 1380 of the family's 1533-position model. Lineage: Bacteria; Pseudomonadati; Pseudomonadota; Gammaproteobacteria; Enterobacterales; Enterobacteriaceae. The record is from RNAcentral.